Molecule: long non-coding RNA, 8658 nt
Filed under: Homo sapiens (human)
Lineage: Eukaryota; Metazoa; Chordata; Mammalia; Primates; Hominidae
Description: HSALNT0079987
Source: RNAcentral
GUCAGUUUUUAAUAUUCUCUUUUUUCCAUUUACUAAUUUUAUUGUUUGUAUUUGGAGCACAGUUUUUAUUUUAUGUCUAUGCUGUGUGUCUUACUAUUGAGCUACAUGAUUAUAUUUUCUCUUUUACUAAUAUCAGUAGGAUGUGGAUGUUAUUUAUACAUGUCUUUUUCCUUAUUAUUUAUCAGUCUGUCUAGAGGUUAUCAAUUGUAAAAAAAUAAACCAGCUUUUAGUUUCAUCUUUUUUUCUAUUUUUUAAACUUUUAAUAUAAUUGAUUUAUUUUCUACUCUUUAUUAUUUUCUUCCUUCUAUUUGCUUUGGGUUUAAUUUGCUUUUCUUUCUCUAGUGUCCUAAUGUAAGUAUUUAAUGUUAGUAUCACAAUGAAAUCUUCAGGCAAUAUUUUCUCACUGCAUUUAUUUGUCUGAAAAAGUAUUUCACCUUCAUUGCUGAAAGAUAUUUUCUCUAGGUAUGGAGAUCUGGGUUGACAGGCUUUUUUAUUUCUUUCAAAAAUUUAAAGCUGUGAUUCCAAUAUCUUCUGACUUGUAGGCUUUCCGACGAGAAGGUGACUGUAAUUUUUGUCUUUGUUUCUCUGUAAUGUGAUGUGUCUUUUCACUGGCUGCCUUCAAAAUUGUCUUUUUAUGUUUUUCAGCCCUUUGAAUAGGAUAUGUCUAGGCAUAUGAUAUUUUUCAGUCUUGCUUUGCAAUCGCUUAGCCUCUUGAAUCUUUUUUAAAUGUCUUUCAUUAUUUUUGGAAAAUUUAUCUUUUCAAAUAUCUCUCUCGUUUUGUGCUCUCUCCUCCUUCUGGGUCUUCAAUUACAAGUAUUUAGAUGAUUUGAAAUUGUCACACAGCUUUUUGAUGCUCCGUUCUGUUUGUAUUCAUUCUUUUUUUCUCUGUCUUUAAGCUUUGGUGAUGCCUGUUGACCCAUCUUCAAGUUCAUGAUUCUUUCCUUAGCCAGGCCAAGUCCAUUGUUGAACCUGCUGAAGGAAUCCUUCAAAGGAUCUUUUAUUAUGCCCUAGGGCUGACCAGCUUUAUUUUUCUGCUUGAAGCAUUUGCUUCUCUAUGAGACAAGGGAUCAGGCAGGGAAGAAGGGUUUUUAUUUUUCCUGCAAUGGCAGCUACUCCCUCCUCCAUGCCUUCAUCAGCAGAGGAGGUCCUCCUGUCUCUUAUCCUGUUCUCUUGAACAGCCACUGGAGAUCUAUGGAAAAGAGCUUAAGAAAGGCCAUGUGAAGACACGGUGAGAAGACGGCCAUCUGAAAGUCAGGAGGAGUAUCCUCUUGAGAACUGAAUCAAGCUAGUACUUUGAUCUUGGACUUCCAGCCUCCAGAACUGCAGUGUUGGUCUGCAAGCUUCAAGAGCCAGUGACCCUGACUGCCAAGUGAUUUGCCGAAGGGAAUUAUGGUUUUGCAUUUGAUGGUUUCCAGGAACUGCUAAGAGUGAGAUCAUCCCUGAAGCAGUGACUGCCAGAGGAAGGCGAGAGACAUAUGGUGGCCUUACAGGAGAAGAACAUGUCUCAGAGAGCUCCUACUCCUCCAGUUUUGGCCCCAGAAUGAAACACAGGAAGAAGACCUGAAUUUGAUUUGCAUUUCAAAGUAGAACUGUCCCAGCUGACAUGAAGACUGAUGAAUAAGGAAUAAGUAUUUAUUGUUGUAUGUCACUGAUAUUUCUGUGGUCGAUUAUGUGUAGAAGAGCUGACUUGUACACUUACAUAAACUUGAAGAAGACUGAAUUUAGAAAUGGAGUUUCUGCAUAUGGUUAUGUCUGAGUAGCUCCAAGUGGAUCAUCCCUCCCACAGAUAACAACUCUAAACUCUGGACAAAAUAUAAAAAUAACAAUUUCCUGAAUAUCAAAGAGCAACCCAAAUCAUGCAGAUACUGGGUAUUAAGGCUGAAUUUGUCUACACAUCAAACAUGUACCUAGGAGGAAUAUUUGCUCUGUGCCAUCAGCAGUGUAGAAACUAGAAUAACCAGCUGCCGUAUUGUGAGCUGCAUUAUGAAGAGAACCAUGUGGCAAGACACUGAGGGAGAUCUCCAGCCAACAACAACUCAUAAGCAACUAAAUCUUGUGAUGAACCACUGGAGUCAUCUGGAAAGAGGAUCCUCUCACCUUCAAUCUUUGAAAUGGCUAGAGCUCUGAUGACAGUUGGAUUACAGCCUUAGGAGAAACAGAGAGCCGGGGAAAUUUGUGCCCAGGUUCCUUUCCCACAGACAUUGUCAGAUAAUAAAUAUCUCUGCGUUUUUAAGCUUCUAUGUUCUGGGAUAAUUUGUUAUGCUGCAAUAAAUAACAACCUGGAAGUGAGGUGCUGCCAUAGUAAAUAUCUAAAUAUGGAUCAUUAACUCAUGUCUAAACUAGCCUUAGAAUAAUAGCUACUCUAGACUUGUUAGCAGAACUUAAAACAAGCCUUAAGAGAACCAAGCUGAUCCAGAAAUAACAUACAUUAGCGGAUUAAAAUCCAACUUUCCUUAAAGAGUGAUAGAAAAAGUAAAAUACACAAUAUCUAACAUUCAAUCAAGAAUUACUAUUGAGAACAUGGAAAAACAUGACCCAUAAACGGGAGAAAAUUUAGUGAAUAGAAACAGAUCCCAAGAUGAUAACAAUAAUAGAAUUAAUAAACAGGACUUUGUAAACAACUAUGAUAAAUAUGCUUGACUGUUUAAAGAAAAACAUGAAAAUAAUAAUGAUGAGAGGAAUUAAAGAUAUAUAAAAGGACCAAAUAGAACAUCUAGAUUUUUAUUUAACUUAGGCACUAUAUGAAGUUAAAGAUACACUAGGCAAGACACUGUAGAAGAUAAGAUAGAUAAACUUGAAGACAUGGAUCUCAAAUUUUUCUAAACUGACUUUCUUAUGGGGACAGAAAAGACCAAGAAAAUAUGAACAGUGUCUCCUUAACUUUUUAUACUGCCUCAGUGUCUCAAUUACUUGUAAUGAUAUGAAACAGUCCAAUGUAUGUAUCACUGGAGUCCUGGAAAGAAAAUGAGGGACCAGAAAAAGGUUAAAGAAAUUCUAGCCUAAAUUAUUCCAAAAUUGGUAAAUACAACAUAUACUCACUUUGUAGAAGCUCAAUGAAUUUCAGUUGAGCUAAACAGCAAACAGACAAAAAAACAACCCCACCAAUUCUCAAAAGCAAAAACAGAAAAAGCUAUAAGCACAUCAUAAUCAAAUUAUUAAAUACUAGCAAUGAAUGAAAAUCUCUUACACAAGUCAGAAUAUAAAAUGCAAAUUAUUUAGAGAAGGAAAAAGAUAACCUAUGACAGAAAAUAAUUAAAUAACAUCUUCAGAAAACCAUGGAACACUGCUAAGAGAAAUCACACAUGACACAAAAGAAAACACAUACCAUGCUUAUGGAUGGGAAGAAUCAAUAUUGUGAAAAUAACCAUACUGGCCAAAGCAAUCUGCAGAUUCAAUGCAAUUCCCAUCAAAAUACUACCAUCAUUCUUCACAAAACUAGAAAAAACAAUCUUAAAAUUCAUAUGGGACCAGAAAAAGAGUACAUAUAGCCAAAGAAAUACUAACCAAAAAGAACAAACCUUGAAGCAUCACAUUACUGAACUUUAAAUUAUAUUACCAGGCUAUAGGUACCCAAACAGCAUGGUACUAGUAUAAAAGUAGGCACAUAGACCAAUGGAACAGAGUAGAGAACCCAGAAAUAAAGCCAAAUACUUACAGCCAACUGAUCUUCAACAAAGCAUACAAAAAUAUAAGUGGGAAAGGACACACUAUUCAACAAAUGGUGCAGGGAUAGUUGGCAAGCCACAUGUGGGAGAAUGAAACUCUAUCCUCAUCUCUCAUCUUAUGAAAAAAUAAACUCAAGAUGCAUCAAAGACUUAAAUCUGAGACCUGAAACCAUAAACAUCCUAGAAGAUAACAUUGGAAAAACUCUUCUGGACAUUGGCUUAGGGAAAGACUUCAUGACUAAGACCCCAAAAGCAAAUGCAAGAAAAACAAAAAUAAGUAGUAUCUAAUUAAACUAAAAAGCUUCUGCACAGCAGAUAGUCAGCAGAGUAAACAGACAACCACAGAGUGGGAGAAAAUAUUCACAAGCUGUGCAUCUGACAUCUGACAAAGGACUAGUAUCUAGCAUCUACAAGGGACUCAAACAAAUCAGCAAGAAAAAACAAAAACAAUCCUAUCAAAAAGUGGGCAAAGGGCACGAAUAGACGUUUCUCAAAAGAAAAUAUACAAACAGCCAACAAACAUAUGAAAAAAUGCUCAACCUCACUAAUUAUCAGGGAAAUGCAAAUUAAACCAUAAUGAGAUACCACCUUACUCCUGCAAGAAUGGCCAUAACUAAAGAGUCAAUAAACAAUAGAUAUUGGUAUGGAUGUGGUAAAUAGGGAACAUUUUCACACUGCUGGUAGGAAUGUAAAUUAGUACAAUCACUAUGGAAAGCAGUAUGGAGAUUCCUCAAGGGACUAAAAGUAAAUCUACCAUUUCAUCCAGCAAUUCCAUUACUGGGUAUCAACACAAAGGAAAAGAAGUCAUUAUAUGUAAAAGACACAUGCACAUGCAUGUUUAUAGCAACACAAUUUGCAAUUGCAAAGGUACGGAACUAACCUAAGUGCCCAUUGACCAAUGGGUGGAUAAAAAAAUGUGGUAUAUUUAUACCAUAGAAUACUAUUCGGCCAUAAAAAGGAACAAAAUAAUGUAUUUGGCAGAAACUUGGAUGGAACUGGAAGCCAUUAUUCUAAGUGAAGUAACUCAGGAAUGGAAAUCCAAAUACUGUAUGUUCUCCUUACAAUCGGUAGCUACCUUAUGAGGAUGCAAAAACAUACAGAGCAAUAUAAUGGACGUUGGGGACUCAGUGGGAGAAUUGGGGAGAGUGAGGGAUAAAAGACGACAUAUUGGAUACAGCAUACACUGCGUGUUUGAUGGGUGCACUAAAAUCACAGAAUUUACCCUAAAGAACUCAUCCAUGUAACCAAAAACUACCUGUAGCCCUAAAACUAAAGAAUUUUUUUAAAAAAUAACAUCUUCAAACUGUUAAAAGAAAAAAAAUAUCGAUCUAGAGUUCCAUACUCUGCAAAAAUGUACUUCAAAAAUAAAGACCAAAAGAAGAUUUUUAAAACAAACAAAUGCAGAAGUUGUCACUAGCAGACUUUUACUUCAGACAACAAUAAAUAGAACUCUUCAGGUGUAAGGACAAUGAUUCCAGAUGGAAACUUGGAUUUACUGAAAGUAAUAGUGUUGUGAUUGGUGAAUAUGUUACUAAAAAUAACAUUGAGUCAUUUUUUUAUUUUUAAUCUUUAUAAAAAAUGACUCUUUAAAACAAAAAUAAUAGAGUGUAUUGUGAAGUUUGUAACAUGUAUAACAUGUAUAAAAACAAAAGCACAAAUAGGAGAUGUAAUUAUAUGUAACUUUUAAUAUAUUACAUGUGAAGUUGUAUAACAUUAUUUGAAGUCAAUGUGACAAGUUAAAGAUGGACAAAUCCUAAAACCCUAGAACAACAGCUAAAAAUGAAACAAAGUGAUUGUUAUAGUGAAUCAGAGAAAAUAAAAUGGAAUAUAAAAAGCUAUCAAGAUGUCAAAAAGAGAGGGAAAGAGGAAAAAUAGCAGAGGUAUAAAUACACAACAAAUAACAAAGUAAUAGCUUUAAUCUCAAUGAUAUCUGUAAAUUAGAUGAAGGAAAAUGGAAUAAAGGCUGCAAUUAAAAGGAAGAGAUUUCCAUGCUGGAUAAAAUUGCAAGACCCAAUUAUAUGCUGGCCACAAGAUACAUGUUUCAAAUAUCAAGGCACAUAUAGGUUAGUUAAAAAAUAUAAAAUUCAUAUAUAUUUUCAGCAUGUAUCUAUGUAUCCCUAAUUGUGUAUGCCCCUAAUAAUAGAACUUCAAAAUGCAUGAAGCAAAAGGUGACUGUACUGAAAACACCAUUAAAAAUACACAGUUAUUUGUGGAGAUUCAACAAUUCUCUCUCAGUAAUUGGCAGAACAAGUCAAUGUUAAAAAUCAAUAAAAGUAAAGAAGGUUUGAUCGAUGUAAGUUAAUUGAUAUUUGUGGAAUUUUCUAUUCAGCAACAGAAGAAUAUACAUUCUUCUCAAUUGCAGACGGUCCACCCACCAAGAUGGACCCUGUACUGUUCUGUAAAACAUGUUUUAAGAAAGUUAAAAGACUGAAACUGUACAAAUUAUGUUCUGCACAUAAUAGAAAUUAUAUUCUAUAUGUGAUAAAAUUUAAUUUUAAAUUAACAGCAGAAAGGUAUCUAGAAAAUUCCCAAAUACUCUAACAUUAAUCAGUAUACUUCUAAAUAAUCACAAGUCAAGGGAGAUUCACAAAGAUAGUAUGAAGUAUUUUGAAUUGAAUAAAAGAAAAACAUACAAUGUCAAAUUUGUAAGAUAUAGCUAAAACAAUGCUUAGAGGGACAUUUAAGGCUUUAAAUGAUUAUAUUAGAGAAAAAGAAAGGUCUACAAUAUUCUAUAUUGACAUCUAAAGAAAUGAGACAAAGAAAAGAAAAAUCAAAUUCGAAGUUACUGGAAUAAAGAAAUAAGAUAAAAAGAAACAGACAAAACAACAAAAAAGAAAUGAAAAGGUGAGUGUAGAAAUUAAUGAAAUAGAAAACAAGUAAAUAAUGAAGUCAGUUAUGCCAAAUAAUUUUUUAAAAGCUUAAAAUAAAUUUCUGGUUAGACUGGUAAAAACAAAAGAGUGAAAAUACAAAUUAUUAGUAUCAAAAAGACAAGAAAGAGCAUUACUUCAGAUCUUGCAGCUAUUAACAAGACUCUAAGAAAAUAUUAUGAGUAACUAUGUCAAUAGUUUUGACAAAUUAGAGAAAAUUUUAAAAUUAUUGGAAAGACAAAUUAUCAAAAUGGAUAAAUCUCUAAAUAAUUUAUACAAAAGGAUUAAUAUAUUCUGUAUUAAAUUUUGUCAUGAAAAAAUGGUAAAAAGUUGAAGCCUUUUUGGCACUGAUAUCUGUAAGUUACUAGUUUAAGAUUACACUUUCUAACUGUGUUAGUCCACUCUCACACUGCUCACACUUUUAUUAAGAACUAUCUGAGACUGGGUAAUUUAUAAAGAAAAGAGAUUUAAUUGACUCGUAGUUCUGCAUGACUGGAGAGCCUCAGGAAACUUACAAUCAAGGCAGAAGAAGGAGAAGCAAGCAUGUCUUUACCAUGGCAGAUCAGGAAAGAGAGAGAGUAGAGGGAGAAGUGCCAGACACUUUCAAACAACCAGAUCUUGUGCUAACUCACUCACUAUCACGAGCACAGCAAGGGGAUAGUCCACCCCCAUGAUUCAGUUACCUCCCACCAAGCCCCUCUCCUGACAUGUUGGGAUUACAAUUCGAGAUGAGAUUUGGGUGGGGACACAGAGCCAAACCAUAUCACUAACUUUGUAGGUGAAAUAAUGCAUAUGUUGUUAUAUACAUAAUUGAUACUCAAUAUCAUUGUUUACUAGGGACUAUAAAGUAUAGCUAUUAUAGGAUACCAGUACACAGCUAAUAGAAUAGUUGCAAUUAAAAAGACUGACAAUAGCAAGUAUUGGAGAGUAUAUGGCACAACUGUGACUCUCAUACGUUCCUGGUGGAUGGUAACGUGGUACAGCCAGGAUGGAAAACAAUCGGUGAUCUAUGCUUGCCAUGUGAUCCAUCCAUUCCACUCCUAAGUAUUUAUCCAAUAGAGAUGACAAUAUGUGUUUGCACAAGUGUUUCAGCCCAGAACUGGAAACCAACAGGUGGAUGGAUUAAGUGCUUUAUUCAUAUUAGUUCCAAAAUGGAAACAGGGCAAAUAUCUAUCAAGUGAAUAUAUAAACAAACUGUUGUACAUGCAAUGGAUAAAUAUAUUGUGGUGCAUAUAAUGGAAUAUUAUUUAUAAAUAAAAAGAGAAUAAACUUCUGAUACAUGCAACAUGCAUAUAUCUCAACACGCAUAAAAAUGUUUUGCUGAGAGAAAGAAGCCUGAUGCAAAUGAGUAUACAGUAUUGAAAUUCAAUUGUAUGAAAUUCUAUAACAUGUAAGUCUAAUCUUUAGUGACAGAAAGAAGAUCAUUGUUUACUGGAGCCAGGGUUGCAACAUAGGGAUACUUACUGCAAAAGGGCUCAAGGGACAUGUUCUGUUUCUUGAUUGUGUUGUAUCCAGUGUCAAAAGCAAUCAAUAUGUAUGCUUAAAAUGCAUGCACUUUAUUGUGUAUAAAAUAUGGCUUAAUAGAGUUGACAGAAAACUUUUUUUAAAAUAGAAAAAGAACAAGUUCCUGGAAUAUUUUCUUAGUAUUCAAAUGUUUUAAUACAUUGGAAAAUAAGACAAAAACUUUAAGAAAUUAAAGAAUACAAAAUCUAUAUUCUAUAAACAAGACAUAAAAACCCUAAAUAUAUUUGUGUUUAUGUUAUAUUAAACAUAAGGAUCAGUAUGUGUUUACUUUUCCAUAAUCAAAUACCAUAUAGAAAAAUGAAAAUUUAGUAAAUAUGACUUUCUCUUCUUAGUAAAAAAGAUGCAAGGAAUAAAGGAAAUAAAGAGAAGGAAGUGAGAGAAAAUGAGUGGAAAAAAACGAGGUGGUUUUGGGUUAUAUGGUCACAGUGUCUAACAUAGAUGCUAUAGUGCUCAAAAAUCCUUGAAUUUGCGGGCAAUAAAAAGAAAAAUCAUUGCUUGGGUCAGUGGCCUAAAGUAAAACAUUGAUUUUCAAAUUUUGUUAUGUUGUCUGGGGACUAUACCUAAAAUUGCUUGUAUAAGUCUCAUGUAUCCCUUUGCUGUAG